RNAcentral lists this microRNA precursor (107 nucleotides) under Mustela putorius furo (domestic ferret). Its description in RNAcentral is "miRNA (ENSMPUG00000022743.1)". The record is from RNAcentral. Lineage: Eukaryota; Metazoa; Chordata; Mammalia; Carnivora; Mustelidae.
CCUGCCUGGCCUCGCUCUCUCCCUCUUGCCCACCUGGCUCUCUCGGAGCCGCCAUCUUGGUCCAGGUGUCAGGUGCUGGGGGGGGAGGGAGGGCGGGGAGAGAGCAG